Molecule: long non-coding RNA, 822 nt
Filed under: Gossypium raimondii (Peruvian cotton)
Lineage: Eukaryota; Viridiplantae; Streptophyta; Magnoliopsida; Malvales; Malvaceae
Description: long non-coding RNA (GRAI_LNC007786)
Source: RNAcentral
CCAAAAUGACUCAUAACCAUAAAAAAAUAAAACUAAGUAAUAAUAAUAAAAAUAAUAAAAGUCAACAAAAACAAGAAAAAACAAAAUUAGUCAAGUUACCAAAACAAUACUAAGAUAGCUAAAAUAACAUAGCAUUAAGAGGAAUAAAAAUAACAAACAGAAUGAAAUAAAUAAAAAUAAAAAUAAGAAAACACAUGAUAAUAAAUAUAAUAAUAAUAUAAAUAAGAAUAACAAAUAAAUAAAUAAAAAUAAAAUAAGGAAAAAGAAGGGGAAAAUGGUGGUGGACCGAUGGUGGGGUCGUGGCGUUGGAGGCGGGCGGUGACGGUCGGUAACGGGGAGAGGAGAGGGUUGGUGGUGGGAGCUGUUUCGAAGGGAGGGAGAAUGAAGGGGAAAUCGGAGCGGGUGAGGGUGUGCAUGGGGGAGAGGAGAGGACGAGGUGAAUAGGGAAGGGAAGAGGACGCAGUGAAGGAGGGGCGGGGUUUGUGCGGUAGGGUGCGACGGGGUUGGGUUAUAGUAGGAGGUUGAGCUCCAAUGAGGGGAAAAUAAGAAAAAGGGAAGAAGGGGGUUGGGGGUUGUGAGGAAGGGAGAAAUAAGGGUAAUAGGGGAAAGGGAAAAUCGCGAGGGAGUAAAGAUGAGGGAGGCAGCGACGGAGUGUGGUACGGAGGGGCAAUGACGACAGUGACUGGAAUGGGGGUCGACGUGGGUAAGGCUAGAUUGGUGGUGUGGAGGCUUUGGGGUAGGCAGAAGACAAAAACAAAAGUAAGGAAAUUAGGAAUUUUGGUUUAAAAAGGGGUACACGGACGUGUAAAGGCUCAUGUUGGG